This 253-nucleotide ribosomal RNA is filed under the name uncultured bacterium. RNAcentral's name for it is "partial 16S ribosomal RNA". It matches the Rfam family "Bacterial small subunit ribosomal RNA", at positions 524 to 776 of the family's 1533-position model. The record is from RNAcentral.
UACGUAGGGUGCAAGCGUUAAUCGGAAUUACUGGGCGUAAAGCGUGCGCAGGCGGUUGUGCAAGACCGAUGUGAAAUCCCCGGGCUUAACUCGGAAAGGUCAACUGAUACUGCGGGGCUAGAGUGCGGAAGGGGCAACUGGAAUUCUCGGUGUAGCGGUGAAAUGCGUAGAUAUCGAGAGGAAUACCGGUGGCGAAGGCGGCAUCCUGGACCGGCAUUGACGCUGAGGAGCGAAAGCUAGGGGAGCAAACGGG